This 72-nucleotide transfer RNA is filed under the name Xenopus laevis (African clawed frog). It matches the Rfam family "tRNA". From Rfam's summary of the family: Transfer RNA (tRNA) molecules are approximately 80 nucleotides in length. Their secondary structure includes four short double-helical elements and three loops (D, anti-codon, and T loops). The record is from Rfam by way of RNAcentral. Lineage: Eukaryota; Metazoa; Chordata; Amphibia; Anura; Pipidae.
GGCUCCAUAGCUUGGGGUUAGUGCACUGACCUUAUAAAUCAGGGGCUGCAAGGUUAAAUCUUGUUGGGGUCU